This 1182-nucleotide long non-coding RNA is filed under the name Zonotrichia albicollis (white-throated sparrow). Its description in RNAcentral is "lncRNA (ENSZALG00000014178.1)". The record is from RNAcentral. Lineage: Eukaryota; Metazoa; Chordata; Aves; Passeriformes; Passerellidae.
AUGAUGAUCUGGGAAUUAAAGCAGGGGCUUCAGUGUCUCUGUUCCCUGAGCAGAGCAGGGCCCACCCUGCACAAAACCCAUGCUCCAGAGGGAGAGAGGCCUGGGGAGCUCUCACCUGUCCAGGUACCAGCCCCUGGUUGUGUUCCUGCCACACAACCCAACAGAAACUCAAGUGCCCCAGGAACGAGCCACAGCCUCAGCUCUCAAGGCAGAGGAGCUGCGUUAAAAAACAAACAAACAAAAAACCAAACCCUUAAAAAUGAGAGCAAACCGCCCGGCAGCACCAGAAUAAGAAGGCAGAAGCUCAGACUUGCCAACUCAUUGUCUAGAGCCCGACCAGUUCUCCCUCCUGUCCUGGAGAUCACAGUACUCCACUCACAAACUCACCCUGUUUGUCAUCUGAGCUUCCAGAGGUGUUUUCAAGUCUUUCUCAGGAGGUCCAGGAGCCAGCAACGCUUUCCCGUGGGAAUUCCAGCCUUUGUUAACAGGACUGCCUUCCCAGCAAUGAAAGCAAGAGAAACAAACUCCAGCUGCUGCAAGAUUUGGAGGAGCAGAGCCACGAGCGUUGCCGGCAGCAACCUUUCCAAGGGGCUGCACCACCAAAACACCAAGCACGGCUUUGGGAUCACUGCACUGCUCUGGAAAUCCUCUUACCUGCAAAGGAGCAGCUCUGGGGCCAGGAGAUCCAGCCCAGGUGGGACACAGCCAGCCUUCCAUGGGAGCAACUGCCCGGGCUGGGCACCUGCCUCUCCUCCUGAGACUGGGGAAGCACAAAGCUCAGCCUGGAGUGCGGCAGGAGCUACACUGAGAGCUGGAGAUCCUGGCUGCAGGAUCAGAUCCGGGUGGAUGGGGCUGCAGAAGUGUCCCCUCGCCAUAAACCCGAGGAUGGUGCUGGCCAGGAGUGCUGGUGAAGGACCUGGAGGCUUUGAGGAGCAGAGUGUUCUCCAGGCUGUAAUUAGCCACUGGCUUCCCCCACCCCUGAUUAUGCAGAGGAGGGAAAUGGCAGAACCCACCAGUCUGCCGGGGAGGGAGGAGGCUGCUCCAGUCCUGCCCUGCUGCAUCAGGGUCCCCCUGCCACCCCGGGGUCCCUGCCCUCCCUCUGGGCACUGUCUGGGCUCAGUGCGUGACCAAGGCACAGUCUGGAAAGGGAUUUGCUGUGGGUCACGGCUGCUGCAAGAUUAA